Non-coding RNA from Ictidomys tridecemlineatus (thirteen-lined ground squirrel), 107 nucleotides. Lineage: Eukaryota; Metazoa; Chordata; Mammalia; Rodentia; Sciuridae. The record is from Rfam.
GUGCCCACUUCGGCAGCAUAUACACUAAAAUUGGAGUCACACAGAGAAGAUUAGCACAGCCCAAAUGCAAGAAUCACAUGUGAAUUUGUGAAGCAUUCCAUGUUUUU